This 301-nucleotide ribosomal RNA is filed under the name uncultured bacterium. RNAcentral describes it as "partial 16S ribosomal RNA". It matches the Rfam family "Bacterial small subunit ribosomal RNA", at positions 509 to 807 of the family's 1533-position model. The record is from RNAcentral.
CAGCAGCCGCGGGAAUACGUAGGGCGCAAGCGUUGUCCGGAAUUAUUGGGCGUAAAGAGCUCGUAGGCGGUCUGUCGCGUCUGGUGUGAAAUCCCGAGGCUCAACCUCGGGCUUGCAUCGGGUACGGGCAGACUAGAGUGCGGUAGGGGAGACUGGAAUUCCUGGUGUAGCGGUGGAAUGCGCAGAUAUCAGGAGGAACACCGAUGGCGAAGGCAGGUCUCUGGGCCGCAACUGACGCUGAGGAGCGAAAGCAUGGGGAGCGAACAGGAUUAGAGACCCCCGUAGUCCCUGUCUCUUAUAC